Lycium ferocissimum is the source of this 3429-nucleotide long non-coding RNA. RefSeq lists it as uncharacterized. The transcript is spliced from 2 exons. Lineage: Eukaryota; Viridiplantae; Streptophyta; Magnoliopsida; Solanales; Solanaceae. The record is from RefSeq and is a predicted model, not a curated record.
AAGAGGAUAGUUUGCCAUAGGAUUGUGACAAGUGUCAGCGUAGGAUAAUGCCACAUGAUAGUUUUAGGACAAAAGUAGUUAAUUAGUUAAUAAUUAGUUUUUAGUUAUUAUUUUUAAUUUAAAAAUAAUUAAAUAUCAAUAUUUUCUAGGAAACAUAUACAUCUAUAUAUUGGAUUUAAUUUAAAUUAACAAAUAAAGAAUUUAGAUUAGAACAUAAAUUAUUUGAAUAAUACUUGAAAAGUAAACACAUUUUUUUUUUUAAUGAACAAGAACCAGGAAAUCAAAUUUUAUCUUUACAUUUUUUUAUAUUUAAAAAGAAAAACAAAAACACAAAAAUAAGAAGACAAAAGAAAAAAGAAAAAAAGAAUAAACGAAGUAAAACUAAUCCAAGUGCACGUCACAUACCCCAUUUGCCCCACUAACUCACUUAUUGAAGACAAAAUCAGAAAAAUGAAAUAACUACCCCACGUCUGCACCACGUUCCCAUUCCCGCAUUUCCUAUUGCACGAUCAAGCACACAUGUAUGCUGCCAACACAUAAGUAAUUGUAGAGAGACGUACUUUUACAAUUUCAGGUUACUGCUACUCUCCCACUUUUUUCUCAAAUCUAGAAAAGAAGGAUACCAACGGAGGAGAUCAGAGACGUAAAAAGACAGAGAGAACCUAUUGGACUUCAAUUACUUUACUCAUUUCCAGUCUUCUUAGUCAUAUUGGGGCGCAACAUUCAAUUAUAAAGGUAAUUAUAUUCUGUCAAAUUUUCUUAUAUAGUACAAAUAUUAUAUUCUAAGUUUAGUUGUUGUUUUUGUUUUGUGGUAUAUGCUCUACUAAGAUUGUACGUGCACGCUGUUAUGCAUAUCAAAUAAUGUGGAGGUUUUGAUCCACUACUUGGACUGCAACAGAAAAAAGGUAUGCUCCUUUGACAUUAUUACUAACUAGAUUAGAUUAGAUUAAUUUAAUUUUCCAAAAAUCAAAUUUAGAUAUUUGAAAACUAUAUCCAAAAUUAUUGUAUAUUGUAAAUACAUCUUAAAAUAUCCAUAAAUGUUUAUGUAAUUUGAAUCGAGAAAUGAAAAGAGACUUAUAUUGGAUGAUGUUUCUGUGUAUUCAGAGAUUUCUUUUCUUUGAUGAUGAGGGAAACGGAUAGCAGCACCAAGUACCAACGAAGAUAAAUUGUGAGUUCAUUGUUUCUUUGGUUUCAUGUAGAUCUCUUGAUAUAGUUAACCUUUGAUACCAACUCAAGAAUGAGACUUUGUCAUAAAUGCAUUUGGGCUAUUCAGAAAUUUAAACACCUAAUGUUCGGCAUGGUGAAACUUGAAGUUGACAACAUGAUUUGAGAAUGAAUAAUUCCAUUUCACUAUUCGUUCUGAUUAAUGCCAAACGGGAAACAGAGGGCUCCCUAUCUUAGUUGGAGAAAAAAUGGUUUCUUUUAAAAACAAUGCAUCUAGGUCAGAAAAUGAAAGUUAAUGUUGUGGCUAGGCAAAACCGUGAAAGUGAAUAGAUGUCCAAUAGCAUCGGAUUUGUUGCUACUAUAGAAUGACUUAAUAUGCAAAUCAUUAGUUUAGUUUCUUUUAUUGUCAUUUACGUGAUUUCAAAAGAAAAGAAAUUACUACCAAAAUUUUCCCAUUGAACUAUGUAUAGGUUUUUUGAUGAGUCCUACAAGUCCGAAGCCUUGAAAUGGAAAAAGAUUGACUACUCCAUCCGCUAAUGGGUUGGUGGCAAGCCUUAGUAACCCAGUAAGUAAUUGCGUUAUUUUUGUUUGUGCAAUAAAUUUAAGAUCUUUUGGUCUACUUAAUACUUAUUUGAUUGCUUUCAAACAGUUUUUAAUCUUUUUGUUUCAUGUUUUUGUCGAAUUAUCCCACCUGGUGGGAUUAUAUUGGGCAUGUUGUUGUUGUUUUAUUAUAGUGAUGGAAAAGUCUUCCUUCAGGGGUCUUCUAAAUGAUUUAUUUUAUCACUUAGCGUUAGAGAUUAUCUCCACUUGAAGGGAAAUUUAAAUCUGAAAGUUUUAUGUAGAAAAUUAAUUGAUUUUUAUUGUGUUUAUGCCCUCAAUAUCAGCACUGCGGAGUGCGUACAAACUGUUGGGUAUAACCUCUAAAAUAAUUUCUCAUUCGAUCGUUGAAUACUUAUUUUUUCAUUGAAAAAGUUUGUUUGUUGAACCAAAAUAAAUUUUGGUUUCAUUCUUUGGAAAUAAUAUAGUUACUGACAACUUAGUUACCGACAAAAAAAAAAAAAAAUAUAGUUACUGACAACUUUUUGCUCACAAUGGGGUGAAAUAGUUUUUUCAGUUUGUGAAUUGAGCAUUGUUUAUCUAUUGACAAGCUUAUGGAGCGUUAACUCACGCCAGGGAUACUGAAGUUUAAAACUUAAAUAUGUGUCAUUCACGUUUGCUUUUGCCUUUCUUUUUGUACUUAUUUUUUCUAACCUCCAAAGAUGCAGUCUUUAUCAGUAGAGUAGCUGAGGGGUUUUGCUUGGGAGUUUAAAAGCACAAAAGAUAGUGCAGGCGAUAAUUACAAUAAUUUGAGUUGUACCUUAAUUACAAAUGUAGAUCCACUUAAGAGGCAGCUGAAUUUAUCAUGUUCAUAUUAUGGGGAUUCUAGCACAUUAAAAAUAAUUUAUGUGUCAUCUGUGUAAAGUUUACACCAAGUAGCCAUUCUAUUUUUCCGCGACCGUGUUUGGUAUUGGAUUAGGCACACUGAUGGUGCAACCAGUUAGACAUUCUCCAACUGAAAACGAUAACAAAAGCUUCUCAAUUACUUUUCAUGAUCUAUAUACUUGAUGUUUUUGCGUAUACUCAGAUGUACAGAAAAGUGCUUCUAUAUUCCAUGUAACUGUAUGUUUUUUCGUCCAUUAUCUAUUGGAGGAGUAGAAACUCCAAGUUCUAAUUAGACAAAUCUACAGAGCUGAUUAUUGCAGUUGCUCGAAAGAAAUAGAGUCAUCAUACACAACAACAAAUGAAAAAAGGAAAACUCGAGUUCUUCUCAGGAUCACGAAACACAAGCAAAGAAGAAAUUCACAGAAAAGUAAAUGAUCAGAUGUGAAGCACAUCAUAAGAAGGGCAUCAUCUCACUAGCUCAUUUCGUGUAAUAAAAAAAUGAUCAUGAAAGGAAGUUUGUAAAUAAGCUCUUGGUGAUGGUGCAUGCAGGUUCUACAACGAUAUCGUGAAAAAUAUGCCAUUAGAGGAGACAACUGUUUGGUAUGUCAAGAGUCUAUUAUCUAUGUUUAAUUUUUUUCCAAUUGAAGGGAGGGGAUGGUUCACAUGAGUUAAUACAUUGGCAAUUGAGGGGAGAGGAUGGUUUAAAUGAGUUGAUCUUCUUAUCAAUGAUCUUUUUCUUAAUUCAAAUAGUUGUAUUUAAAUACUUAUGGUAUUUGGUUUACUAUGGACUUGGUACUUUGGGCAAAUUGGUGCUCAAUUUAGUUCAGAGACACUGAUUGACUG